Molecule: ribosomal RNA, 253 nt
Filed under: uncultured bacterium
Lineage: Bacteria
Description: partial 16S ribosomal RNA
Rfam family: Bacterial small subunit ribosomal RNA
Source: RNAcentral
UACGGAGGGUGCGAGCGUUAAUCGGAAUAACUGGGCGUAAAGGGCACGCAGGCGGACUUUUAAGUGAGAUGUGAAAUCCCCGAGCUUAACUUGGGAACUGCAUUUCAGACUGGGAGUCUAGAGUACUUUAGGGAGGGGUAGAAUUCCACGUGUAGCGGUGAAAUGCGUAGAGAUGUGGAGGAAUACCGAAGGCGAAGGCAGCCCCUUGGGAAUGUACUGACGCUCAUGUGCGAAAGCGUGGGGAGCAAACAGG